AUUGAACGCUGGCGGCAGGCCUAACACAUGCAAGUCGAGCGGAUGAAGGGAGCUUGCUCCUGGAUUCAGCGGCGGACGGGUGAGUAAUGCCUAGGAAUCUGCCUGGCAGUGGGGUAUAACGUCCGGAAACGGGCGCUAAUACCGCAUACGUCCUGAUGGUGAAAGUGGGGGAUCUUCGGACCUCACGCUAUCAGAGGAGCCUAGGUCGGUCUAGCUAGUUGGUGGGGUAAAGGCCUACCAAGGCGACGAUCCGUAACUGGUCUGAGAGGAUGAUCAGUCACACUGGAACUGAGACACGGUCAAGACUCCUACGGGAGGGAGCAGUGGGGAAUAUUGGACAAUGGGCGAAAGCAUGAUCCAACCGUGCCGAGUGUGUGAAGAAGGUCUUCGGAUUGUAAAGACCUCUAAGUGGGGAGGAAGGGCAGUAAGUUAAUACCUUGCUGUAUUGACGUUACCAACAGAAUAAGCACCGGCUAACUUCGUG
This 484-nucleotide ribosomal RNA is filed under the name uncultured bacterium. RNAcentral's name for it is "partial 16S ribosomal RNA". It matches the Rfam family "Bacterial small subunit ribosomal RNA", at positions 30 to 507 of the family's 1533-position model. The record is from RNAcentral.